Mytilus trossulus (common blue mussel) is the source of this 785-nucleotide long non-coding RNA. RefSeq lists it as uncharacterized. The transcript is spliced from 2 exons. The record is from RefSeq and is a predicted model, not a curated record. Lineage: Eukaryota; Metazoa; Mollusca; Bivalvia; Mytilida; Mytilidae.
UUCAAAUUGAAUUGUACUUCAACUUAAUCAAAAACUACCUUGACCAAAAACUUUGACCUGAAGCGGUACAAACAGACGGACGGACGGACAAACGAACGGACGCAUAGACCGGCAAACAAUUCCCCGCUACUAUCGUAGAUGAGGCAUAACAAUCGAUAUUUGAAAGUAUAGCCAUGGAUUGAUUUUUAACAAGUGACUAAGAGUGUUUCCGCAGAGCGACCAAUUUGUUUAUAAAUAUAUGUGAACGUAUACGUAUAAGGACACACGACACAAACAGAUAUCUAAAUACUGUACUGGUACUGUUGUAUUGAAAGAUUAUAGUAUACAUUUGUGAUCCGUGAGAAUCUAAGAAAUGCCGAAACUGUACGUUGUGUGUAUUGUUCUUUUGGUCGCCAACAUGUUCAAUGUGUCGCACGGAGUAUCCACUACGGUGCUGGAAAUGUUUCCAGAAUUCAACGACCUCUUACAGAAAAAUAUAAAAUCAGAAAGAGAAAUUCGGACAUUGAAGAAUGAUGUGUCCCGUCUACGACAAGAGAUGAAUACUUUCAAAACACAGACAGGAAAUGCUAUUAGGAAUUUAUUAAGACUUCAUGGACUAUAAAUUAAUCCAGGAUUGUUUUACAAUUUACAAACCCUUAUAUACGAAUAUUUUAAAGUCAUUGUAUUUAUAUUUAUUUUCUGGAAAUGUUUAUAAUUUUAGCAUGUUGUUAAAACUUAAAGUAUAGUCUUUUAUAGUGAACAGAUGUAAUCUUUUCUGUACUUUGGCAAUAAAAAAUUAAGACUCA